RNAcentral lists this transfer RNA (70 nucleotides) under Ictidomys tridecemlineatus (thirteen-lined ground squirrel). Its description in RNAcentral is "Spermophilus tridecemlineatus (thirteen-lined ground squirrel) tRNA". It matches the Rfam family "tRNA". Rfam says of the family: Transfer RNA (tRNA) molecules are approximately 80 nucleotides in length. Their secondary structure includes four short double-helical elements and three loops (D, anti-codon, and T loops). Further hydrogen bonds mediate the characteristic L-shaped molecular structure. tRNAs have two regions of fundamental functional importance: the anti-codon, which is responsible for specific mRNA codon recognition, and the 3' end, to which the tRNAs corresponding amino acid is attached (by aminoacyl-tRNA synthetases). tRNAs cope with the degeneracy of the genetic code in two manners: having more than one tRNA (with a specific anti-codon) for a particular amino acid; and 'wobble' base-pairing, i.e. permitting non-standard base-pairing at the 3rd anti-codon position. Lineage: Eukaryota; Metazoa; Chordata; Mammalia; Rodentia; Sciuridae. The record is from Rfam by way of RNAcentral.
GGGGUUGUGACUCAGUGGUAGAGUGCUUAUCUCACAUGUGUGAGACACUUGAGUUCAAUCCUCAACACCA